ACGGAAUAGAUACCCCGGUAGUCCACGCCCUAAACGAUGUCUACUAGUUGUUGGUGGAGUAAAAUCCAUGAGUAAACGCAGCUAAACGCGUGAAGUAGACCGCCUGGGGAGUACGGUCGCAAGAUUAAAACUCAAAUGAAUUGACGGGGGCCCGCACAAGCGGUGGAUUAUGUGGAUUAAAUUCGAUGCAACGCGAAAAACCUUACCUGGCCUUGACAUGUAACGAACUUUCCAGAGAUGGAUUGGUGCUCGAAAGAGAACGUUAACACAGGUGCUGCAUGGCUGUCGUCAGCUCGUGUCGUGAGAUGUUGGGUUAAGUCCCGCAACGAGCGCAACCCUUGCCAUUAAUUGCCAUCAUUUAGUUGGGCACUUUAAUGGGACUGCCGGUGACAAACCGGAGGAAGGUGGGGAUGACGUCAAGUCCUCAUGGCCCUUAUGGCCAGGGCUUCACACGUAAUACAAUGGUCGGUACAGAGGGUUGCCAAACCCGCGAGGGGAGCCAAUCCCAGAAAGCCGAUCGUAGUCCGGAUUGUAGUCUGCAACUCGACUAC
Molecule: ribosomal RNA, 551 nt
Filed under: uncultured bacterium
Lineage: Bacteria
Description: bacterial SSU rRNA
Rfam family: Bacterial small subunit ribosomal RNA
Source: RNAcentral